GACGAACGCUGGCGGCGUGCUUAACACAUGCAAGUCGAACGCUGAAGCCGAGAGCUUGCUCUUGGUGGAUGAGUGGCGAACGGGUGAGUAACACGUGAGUAACCUGCCCCUGUCUCUGGGAUAAGCGCUGGAAACGGUGUCUAAUACUGGAUAUGCACGAUCACCGCAUGGUGUGUUGUGGGAAAGAUUUAUCGGACGGGGAUGGACUCGCGGCCUAUCAGCUUGAUGGUGAGGUAAUGGCUCACCAUGGCGACGACGGGUAGCCGGCCUGAGAGGGUGACCGGCCACACUGGGACUGAGACACGGCCCAGACUCCUACGGGAGGCAGCAGUGGGGAAUAUUGCACAAUGGGCGCAAGCCUGAUGCAGCAACGCCGCGUGAGGGAUGACGGCCUUCGGGUUGUAAACCUCUUUUAGUAGGGAAGAAGCGUAAGUGACGGUACCUGCAGAAAAAGCACCGGCUAACUACGUGCCAGCAGCCGCGGUAAUACGUAGGGUGCAAGCGUUGUCCGGAAUUAUUGGGCGUAAAGAGCUCGUAGGCGGUUUGUCGCGUCUGUCGUGAAAUCCCGAGGCUCAACCUCGGGCUUGCGGUGGGUACGGGCAGGCUAGAGUGCGGUAGGGGAGAUUGGAAUUCCUGGUGUAGCGGUGGAAUGCGCAGAUAUCAGGAGGAACACCGAUGGCGAAGGCAGAUCUCUGGGCCGUUACUGACGCUGAGGAGCGAAAGCAUGGGGAGCGAACAGGAUUAGAUACCCCUGGUAGUCCAUGCCGUAAACGUUGGGAACUAGAUGUAGGGCCUGUUCCACGGGUUCUGUGUCGUAGCUAACGCAUUAAGUUCCCCGCCUGGGGAGUACGGCCGCAAGGCUAAAACUCAAAGGAAUUGACGGGGGCCCGCACAAGCGGCGGAGCAUGCGGAUUAAUUCGAUGCAACGCGAAGAACCUUACCAAGGCUUGACAUAUACGAGAACGGGCGAGAGAUCGUCAACUCUUUGGACACUCGUAUACAGGUGGUGCAUGGUUGUCGUCAGCUCGUGUCGUGAGAUGUUCGGUUAAGUCCGGCAACGAGCGCAACCCUUGUCCUAUGUUGCCAGCACGUGAUGGUGGGAACUCAUGGGAUACUGCCGUGGUCAACACGGAGGAAGGUGGGGAUGACGUCAAAUCAUCAUGCCCCUUAUGUCUUGGGCUUCACGCAUGCUACAAUGGCCGGUACAAAGGGCUGCGAUACCGUAAGGUGGAGCGAAUCCCAAAAAGCCGGUCUCAGUUCGGAUUGGGGUCUGCAACUCGACCCCAUGAAGUCGGAGUCGCUAGUAAUCGCAGAUCAGCAACGCUGCGGUGAAUACGUUCCCGGGCCUUGUACACACCGCC
This 1361-nucleotide ribosomal RNA is filed under the name uncultured bacterium. Its description in RNAcentral is "bacterial SSU rRNA". It matches the Rfam family "Bacterial small subunit ribosomal RNA", at positions 28 to 1394 of the family's 1533-position model. The record is from RNAcentral.